AGGGAAUCUUCCACAAUGGACGGAAGUCUGAUGGAGCAACGCCGCGUGAGUGAUGAAGGUUUUCGGAUCGUAAAACUCUGUUGUAAGGGAAGAACCAGUACGUCAGGCAAUGGACGUACCUUGACGGUACCUUAUUAGAAAGCCACGGCUAACUACGUGCCAGCAGCCGCGGUAAUACGUAGGUGGCAAGCGUUAUCCGGAUUUACUGGGUGUAAAGGGCGAGUAGGCGGGAUCAUAAGUCAGAUGUGAAAUCUGGGGGCUCAACCCCCAAACUGCAUUUGAAACUAUGAUUCUUGAGUGAUGGAGAGGCAGGCGGAAUUCCCGGUGUAGCGGUGGAAUGCGUAGAGAUCGGGAGGAACACCAGUGGCGAAGGCGGCCUGCUGGACAUUAACUGACGCUGAGGAGCGAAAGCGUGGGGAGCAAACA
RNAcentral lists this ribosomal RNA (426 nucleotides) under uncultured Bacillota bacterium. RNAcentral describes it as "bacterial SSU rRNA". It matches the Rfam family "Bacterial small subunit ribosomal RNA", at positions 356 to 774 of the family's 1533-position model. Lineage: Bacteria; Bacillati; Bacillota. The record is from RNAcentral.